AUGGUUUUAUCUUAUAUCCGGUUACUCCAAACCAGAUAUUAAUGGCGCCUACACUCUGCGAAAAUCGCCGGCGAUCGAAGAAAAGCUUUCACUCGCGACGAAUCUUCAUGGAGACGUCGAGGCUACCGCUCUCGUCCACCGAUCUCGCUCGAGUGUGUCGGCUUCUUCGUCUUCCAACUUUGAGCAUCUUCCCCAAAUUUUCACCUCUUUCUUCUCUCAUGGAUGCUUCGAAUCUCGGUUCUUCCAGCAAACCGGCCUUCUCUUCCUUCUCACAAUCCAGCAGAAGCGGCGGUAGAGGAAGAGGAAACGAGAGAGAUAAUGAUCGUCGGAGGCCUCAGGGUCGUGGUGGCGGCAGAGGAGGAGGAGGAGGCAAUGAUAGAAUCGAUGCUCUUGGAAGACUCUUGACGAGAAUCUUGAGACACAUGGCUACUGAGCUGAGACUGAACAUGAGAGGUGAUGGUUUUGUUAUAGUUGAAGACUUGCUUAACCUGAAUCUUAAAACGUCUGCAAACGCUCCCUUGAAGUCUCAUACCAUUGAUGAAAUUAGAGAGGCAGUGAGAAGGGACAAUAAGCAACGUUUUAGCCUCGUUGAAGAGAACGGAGAGCUCUUGAUUCGCGCUAACCAAGGCCACUCUAUCACGACAGUUGAAUCUGAAAAGUUACUUAAACCAAUAAUGUCACCGGAAGAAGCUCCAGUGUGUGUGCAUGGAACAUAUAGGAAGAAUUUGGAAUCCAUCUUAGCAUCUGGUUUAAAGCGUAUGAAUAGGAUGCACGUUCAUUUUUCUUGUGGCUUACCAACAGAUGGUGAAGUGAUAAGUGGCAUGAGAAGAGAUGUUAAUGUCUUGAUCUUUCUCGACAUCAAAAAAGCUCUUGAAGAUGGGAUUGCAUUCUACAUUUCGGACAACAAGGUUAUUUUGACUGAAGGUGUUGAUGGUGUAGUGCCUGUUGAUUACUUCCAAAAGAUUGAGUCUUGGCCUAGUCGGCAACCAAUUCCUUUCUGAUUUCUUGUUUAUACAAUACGUUCAAUAAAUUUUUUUAUUGGACCAUAUUUGUGACUUAACAGAUAUACAAUUGUUACCACCUUAGUAUUUAAUAACCUAUGUUGUUCAUGUGGUCUUGAAUUCUGGAAAAAAACGUUUGCAGAAACAAUACAUUUAAUUAUUCACGUUUCUUGUCUACUCUUUUAUAGUUUUUCAUCACCAAUACUCGAUCACUAGCAUCCUCCAAAAAGUAGAAAUGAUAGGGGUUUUUAAAUGGGUCUUCAGAGUAGAGCAGAUAAGGUAAAAUUCCCAAAAUGGUUUGGAGGUUUCUUAACCUAGCAGGAACAGUCAGAUGUCUACUCUAUCGUAAGAGCAAUCUUCGGAUGCUCCACCUGAUUCCAUGUGAAAACAUUCCGAAAUGGCAUCUUUCUUCAUGCAUUCUCUUUUCACUUUUUUUUACCUAUUCUAGAUCUGAAAUUAUCAAGAAAAUAUUAAGAAGACUUAUAAAAGCACUAAAAUACCAGCAGAAUACUUAUAUAUAUAUAUAUAUAUAUAUAUAUAUAUAAUAGUGUCAAAAACACCAUAUAUCAGUGGGUUGUGUCGAUUCUUCUUCGGUGGAACAAUCGAAAGACAACAGCGACGAACGGCAGAGGGAAAUGAGAUUAGGUUUAGAGGUUAAGGAAAUGACAAACUUUGCGUUCGAGUUUCGUACCGGAGGAGGUAGCUUGUGGAGAAACUGCUUUAGUAAACAUAAAUUAAAUUAAAUUAUUUCAUCUGUUGAGAUAUAUUAGAACUAUUAGUAGAAUGUCCACUUUGAGUAUAAAAGGCAAAUUCCGCAUAUAUUUACUUUUGAUUUUCCUUCCAAAACGUUUUAUACUAAUUAGAGUUAGACUUCUUUUUAUAUAUUAGACUUUUUUUUUUGUAACUUGCGAUGUGAGACUUAAAUUGAAAUCUUUCAUUAGCGAUAAAAUUAUAUAUCUUAAGGAUGGAAAUACCAUAUGAGUUUCAGCAGCUGCUGGUAGAUGAUUGUUUUUAGGAAGUAGUGUCCAAUUACAAACAAGAUUUAUCUCUUGGUUAGCCUUUUUUCGUCUAUUUUACCUAUUUUAAGUUUAAGAAUUGUCUCUAAUUACCUAAAUCAUAGAUGUGUAUUUCAAUUCUUGUGGUUAAACUUUAUUGUAGGAUGAAAGUAAAAGACUAAACUAACCAUCGUGUCAUUAUAAAUAGAAAUUCAUCUUAGGCUCAGUUCCUCGUACAACACACAUAAUAUAUCUUCAAACUAAAAAAAAAAGGAAAGGAGAAAAAGUAAAAAAGUAAAAUAUAGCAUGGCUAAGUUUGCUUCCAUCAUCACCUUCCUCUUCGUUGUUCUUAUUAUCUUUUCUGCUUUUGAAGCACCAACGAUUGUGGAAGGGCAGAGGUCAUGCAAGAGGCAGCCUAAUUCAGGGAGAAAAUAUUGUAUGAAGGAUAGUGAAUGCCGGAAGGUUUGCAUCGAAGCCGAGAAAGCAACACGUGCUACUUGUGAUUAUACAUUCCCAAGGCGCCGGUGUUUCUGCCACUUUCCAUGUCAAUAAACAGAGCCGUUCCAAGACAUUUUUAUGCUCUAUGCCAAAUAAAUAUUACUAGAUGACUUUCUGCGAUAUCGCGGGAUAAAGUCCAUUUCAAUAUUAUUAUAAUAAGUUUUCUAUAUCAUUGAAUAUAAAAAUUUCGAUUAAUUAAAUUUUUGAUAAAAAUUAAUGAAUAUUUUUGAUAGGUUAAUAAUGUAAGAAUAACUUUAAAUUUUAUUACAAUAUAUUAACCAUUUUACAUUAUUUUUUUCAUAAUUUUGAAAAAUUACAAAUUAAAAAGAUAAACUAUCAUAUAUGAGUUGUGAUAUUAUCUAGUACUAGGUGCUGAGACCCCACGCAAGCGCGGGGCUGGUUACUUUGGAUAUCGGUGGGGCGGUAUGAUUUACGGGAUGUUGGUAUUGUUUAAGAUUUGUGCAAAUUAAAGAAUAAAAUUUAUCGGAAAUAAGACAACAAAAUUGAUCCUAGCUUUUGACGAUUAACUCAAGUUAGAGACAUCUCCCAAAACGGAAGAAAAAUUCAAAAAGUAUAAUUAAGGUAAAACAUAGAGAAUGUGAAAAAUGCAUAAACAUGAAACAGAGAGCGUGGAACAACGGAAAGGGAAAGAGAAGAAGAUGAAGAAGCUUACGUCAGGUAUAUGAAAAUUAAAAAGACAGAUAUUGUGACAGCGCAGCACCAACUUAUUUGGGGGUCCAUAUCAAGUUAUCAACUCUGUAUAUAUCCGUUGUUUGAAUAAAUACUCAAAAUUUCAAACUACUUGCAUUACAAAAUUAUUUUAUUUUUUCAAAAUACACAUUGUUUGCUAGUACUUAUUAGGGAGCUCAAGGACCGUAGUAGCAUAUAACCAUUUUAACACAUAUUUUUCAUAAUUAUGAAAAAUUACAAAUUAUAAAGAUAAACUAUCAUAUAUGAGUUGUGAUAUUAUCUAUUAUUUAUGGUAAAUUCAUAAAAUUCUAAAUUUGAAAAUAUUCUAUUAUAUUACUUAGAUAUAAUAUAGAUUUAUUUGGAAAUUUUAAUAUUUGUUAAUCAUUAGGUUUCGUUUUGUACACAAAUAAUCAACAAUAUAAAAUUAAUUUCAAGACAUUCUAAAAUAUAACUUCAGAGUUUGCAUAAACAAUUUAAAGAAAUUUGUAUGUUUAUUUAAUUUUAUAUUAGAUAUAAUAUACUAAUUAACAAAGUUAAGGGUCUAAUACAUCUAUGAAUUCAGAUAAUUGGAAGAAGCUUUAGAAUAUAGAUCAUUUUGUUUGUCUUAAAGCUACAUAUUCAUAUUCUGAUAAAGAAGAAAAUCAUGUAAACUAAAAUCAAAUAUUAUAUUAUUCAUUAUAGCAAACUAUAAAAAUAAACUAAUACAUAACAGAAUAUGAAGCCACAUAUUCUAUAAAAAUAUUAUUUGAAAAAAAUCUUCAAGCAAUUGCAGUUUACUCCAUAUUUUUAAGCAACCAAGGUGCUGGGCUAGUAGACUCGCUGGAAAAAAAAUAAUAUUAUAGAAAUUAUGUUAUAUAGAUAAACUUAUAUAAUUUUUAAAUUAAUAGAUAUUUCAUUUUCAUUUAUGUUUUAAAGGGAAAACAUGUAGUAAAAAAUCAUUUACAUAUAUAGAAUUCAGAAAAUAUUUCUUUUUAUUAUUUAUAUGUUUUCAAAAAAGAUAAUUUAAAUGAAAAGAUAAUUUAAACUAUAUUAAUAGAAAAAAAUUAAGUACUGACAAUUAUGUAUAAUUUUAAUUCAUAAAGGGUAUUCGUAUAAUUGACUUUUUGAGGAUAAAUAUAAGUGUGACACGUAUGAAACUGAUUUAUCAAAUAAUAUUAUAAAAAUAAUUUUGAAACAAAAUGUUUCAAAAUCAAUUUUUGUUUCUUAAAUCGAGCUUAAAUUCACACAAAAUUAGAUGAUUAAAGGCAAAAUGGUUGAAAAAAAGACACAUGCAUAACUACCUACACAUACCCCCAUAAGCAUAUUAAUUUACUUACAAAUGCUUUAUUUUGGUUUAUAUUUUAAUUUGCAACAAAAACCAUUUUAUUUUACUAAAUAACGAGCCAAAUCCAAUCAUGUUGCUCGCCAUGGGCUUAUUUUGUGCAUAUUGUAUAUGCUAAAGUAAGGUGAAAUGGGUGCAAGGGUUAGUUACAAUUUUUUGAAGUAAAUCAAAAAGUACCCAAUUUUAUUUUGUUUUGGUAAAACCAAUUAAAAUCAUGUUUAGUUAGAUCAACAAAAGAUACAACACAAAAGAAGGUUGUAACCGAAAAUAAAAUAAAAUAACAAAAUUUUAGGCUCACUUGUCAGAAGCAAAAGAUACUAACCAAAUUAUACAUAGACACCAAACUAAAGUAGAGUAAGAGAGUUUCUAAAAAAAAAAAAAAAAAACUUACUGAAAAGACAAAAUCCAAAUCGCUUGGUCACAUGAGAAAAACUCAAUGGUCAUAUAACAUUUGUAUUUAACACAUUGCACUUUAAUAUCAUAAACUUCUUCAAAAAUAAGGGGGUUGGGACAACAAAAAGCAAACUUUUUGCUUUGUGGAAACAUAGAAACUUCUUAAAUCCAUGAUUUGAAGAAAUUUUUGAUGUCAAACUAGAUGAUAUUCUAUGCAAAAGAGAGAGGAUAAAAAGAUUAUAAAUAUGAACCGGAUUCUAUAUGGAUCACCGGGUUUAUCGGUUCAGCAGCGAGUUCAAGUCAGAUAUUUCUUAACAUAAAUAUAUAGAUCAAAUUCAAAAAAUAAUAUUUAGUACCAACUAACAUUUUUAUCCAAAAAUCAAAUCCGCAAUUUCAAAGCGCGGACCAAAAUCUAGUUUUGAGAUUAUUUAGCGAGUUGUAGUUAGUUCUUUUCCGUAUUACAGUAUUGUACUACGCACAUACUAUAUGUUUUUGAUUUAAUAUCUUUUCAUAUGCUUGUAGAGAACAGCUUGAACAAUGUGUUUCAUUUUUUCAAUCAGAACUCCGACUAUGUGUUGCUGGUUUUUGUUUGAAAAUAAUUGUUGAGGUGUGACCUUGAUUAAGGUCAAGGUUAUGUCACUUAUGUGCAAUGUUUUUAAACCCGACCUGGACACUGAACCGGACGACUUACCGGGUUGCUGGGUCACUGGAUCGACCGCGGGCGAACCGCGGGUUAAUAAAUGAAUUAAUUUUAUUAUAUAAUAAUAUAUCAGCUAUGUAAAUAAAAAUAUAGAAACUAAAGUUUAAUAUUUUCUAAAUAUUUUUAUAAACAUAAAAUAAUAGUUUGGAUAUAUAUAUUUUUAUGUUAAAUAACAUUUAGAAAAUACUUAACUUUAAUUUCUAUAUUUUUAUUUUCAUUUGAUAUACAAAAUAUCAAAAAAUAAUUUAGACGAUUUAUAAUUUUGUCUAACAAGAUAAGAGUUAUGACAUCUAAAAAAUAAAGACAUAAAAUUUAUAAAUAUUUAAAUGUUUAAUGUGAAUAAUAAAUUAAAUUAUACAAAAUAAACCAAAAGUAAAAAAUCAUUAUAAUAAAUUAUCAAUAAC
Molecule: RNA transcript, 6002 nt
Organism: Brassica rapa (field mustard)
Lineage: Eukaryota; Viridiplantae; Streptophyta; Magnoliopsida; Brassicales; Brassicaceae
Gene name: tRNA 2'-phosphotransferase 1
Source: RefSeq, a predicted model, not a curated record